UACGUAGGUGGCAAGCGUUGUCCGGAAUUAUUGGGCGUAAAGCGCGCGCAGGCGGUCCUUUAAGUCUGAUGUGAAAUCUUGCGGCUCAACCGUAAGCGGUCAUUGGAAACUGGAGGACUUGAGUGCAGAAGAGGAGAGUGGAAUUCCACGUGUAGCGGUUAAAUGCGUAGAGAUGUGGAGGAACACCAGUGGCGAAGGCGACUCUCUGGUCUGUAACUGACGCUGAGGCGCGAAAUCGUGGGGAGCGAACAGG
This 253-nucleotide ribosomal RNA is filed under the name uncultured bacterium. RNAcentral's name for it is "partial 16S ribosomal RNA". It matches the Rfam family "Bacterial small subunit ribosomal RNA", at positions 524 to 776 of the family's 1533-position model. The record is from RNAcentral.